This is a long non-coding RNA of Apis florea (little honeybee), 2587 nucleotides long. NCBI's taxonomy places the organism in Eukaryota, Metazoa, Arthropoda, Insecta, Hymenoptera, Apidae. The record is from RefSeq and is a predicted model, not a curated record.
CAUCGCGUAUCGACACCGCGCGCCUCGUAAUGACCACCGAGACAAGUUUAAGAUACUGACUCCACCAGACUCGGUGCGAACGAUGUAAUCGUCAAGUGCCGUUGUUUUAUUGCCUGUUGUUGUUGUUGCUGUUGUUGUUGUUGUAACUGUAACUCUCUUGUGCGCGGAUGUACUGUCCUACGACAGAGAUCGCAGAGUUCCCGUGAACGUGAAGAGGAGGAUCUUGGUCUCUUGUCCCGGGGAGAGAAGAAAACGUCCUCGUAAGAAAUCGUCGCGGAAGAUUUUCCGUAGGGGGGAUCCUAAUCCUCCUGAACUGCGUGGUGCGGCUACGACAGGCCGAAAGGAUUUCAUGUUCACGAAUUUCAGUAAACCAGGUAACGAUGCGCCAUACCCACCAGGCAUCGGCGCGUCGAUUUUCAGAUUUUCAAUACGCGCGACACCCUCGCGUCGUUAACCACUCGUCGCGAGGACGCACGUUCGAUUUGCGCGCUCGGCCUUCCUCGCGGCCUGGCUGCACGCGGCUGCUGUGCACGCUUAGAGGGGAGGAUACGCGCCUAUUCUGCACCUCGAAAACAGCCUAUCUACCAGACCUGCCUGACCCAUCGAUCGCGAGAUCUAGAGGCAUGCGUCGCGUGUUCCUCCCUCCCUCCCUCUCUCUUCCUCCCUUCAAGGGACUGAGACGCGAACAGAAUAGGCCGAGAAACCAGCACCGAACGUGAGACGGAUUUAUACCACGCUAAAGAACGGCGAGGACGCGGUUGUUGUAGGCCACAAUCCUCGAUGAAACUGUAGCUACGAAAUCGGUUUCGUCGAUUUCGAUUCUGUUUUUUUAUUAUCGAGCGAGCUUGAUAAUAGGAGGAUUUCCUUUAAGGAAGGAAACGCAUCGUUUUUCGCAUCGAUUGAUAGUGGAAAAUAUGUCGGAAUUUCGGCGCAGAGGGAAAUUCUACACGGGAAUUUCAAUAAUAUACAGUGUAAACUAGACUGGCGUUUAUUGGUUUGAUCCAUCCGAUUGAAACGUAAACUAAUCCUGGCGCGAACAAAAAUACGGGGUGGGGAGGGGUUGUCAAUUUUCGAGGACCGAAAUACGCGCGUAAUUUCUGACCGCUGCAAUCGUGCGGCGGUUCCAUUGUUUCGGAUUGUAAAAUGAGAUAAAUCAUAUUCUUUCGCACCCUAAAUGGGGAAUCCAUGAAACGAGAGUAGAUUUAUCAGAGGUGAAACGUUUCGACGUUUCGCACUCGCAAAGACUGACUCUUGCUCAAUUAAAUGUUGAAAAGUGUAUAUAUAAAAGUCUAUAUAUUUUUUUAUACAUUCGUAUCGUAUAAAAUAUUUAGAGCGACGAGCAGAAGAGAGAAAUUAAUAAAGAAUUUCUUCACAAGUGAAAAAUUGUGUAAUAUUAACUACGCGAUAUUCGCGUAUUUCGCGUUAUACAUCGUGAAUUGAGAGAACUUUGUUUUUUCCUUCAAUUUAAGAUUCAUAAUUAAAUAGAUUCAUAAUGCACGACGAAUAAAAUAAAAGCUCAUUAUCUUAAGUAAAAUUCCAAUUUUAGUUACGUAACGUAAUAAAUAUUGAAAACGUAGCAUUUUUUUUUUUUUUUACGUACGAUACGAUACGGAUUGAAGAAAAAAAGAAGGAAAAAUAAAGCGAGGGGAAAAUAUAUUCGUUUCCUCGGAAUUCAGAGAUACGAAAUUUCUAGAAAUUCGUAUGUUUGAACUGCAUAAAACGUUUUUCGAUUCACGAACGAAAUAUUUCUUAAGAUGUAAUUUAAAAGCAACGUCCUGUGGGACAGUCUUUUAUAAAACUUUGCAAUGUAAAUUUUUUUUAGGAGUAAACCAGUCAUGUUCCGCACUUGAAAAAUGGAAUUUAAAAAAGAAAAAAAGAAGAGAGAGAAAGAGACACAAAAAAAAAAGAGAAAAAAGAAGGAGGAAAAUUUAUAAGUAGAGGUUUGAAUAAAAGAGGCGAACCAAGUGCAACAUUAGAAUUUUCACGGUAUUAUUUAUGCAAUAUUUCUUCGGUAACAUUCUUUCCGUAUGCAAACACAAAACAUCGUAACUCCUUAGACGGUACAUUCCGGUGGACAAAUAUUGCAACAGCGAUAUAUCAAGAUUAAUUUUUAAUCUGCCGCGAUGAGCGGUGGGAAAAGGAUUCAUAAUUUAUCAUGCGCGUACAGCAGGCUGAUACAUCGAGUUACGCAUAGAUUAAGAUAAAAAGCAUAAGGAAAAAAAAAAAAAAAAAUUGGAAAAUAUUAUUCUAGAAGAACGAAAAAAAAAAAAAAAAGAAAAAAUGUUACAAAACUAACGAACCGUUAUCGUUCAUUUCAUGCUUCGAUGGUUUAAGCAGCGUGCACGUUUAAAACUAGCUUAAAAAGAGAUUCGAGCAUAAAUCGAUGCGUUUACACUCGAUCGUUUCUGUCUCGAACGACAAGGGAUAACGGAAAGCAAAUAAUACUCUUGUCUACUCUUUUUUCUCCCGUUUCUCGAAUGCCUAUUCUAUCCUCGUAACCGGUAUGACGCAUCGAUCGACGGUACGAUCCAUCGAUCGCGCGAAAUAUCAUCCGAGAGGGAGGAAAAUUCGUUCGUAAUACACGUAA